CUGACAUGAGUGCUAGUGCCAACUCCUCCAAUGCAGGGAAUGCUCCUCCACCAUAGAAGUCUGAGCCUAGACACUUGACAGCAGGAAGCAUCAAUUGGAGAACCUUAAGAUGUGGUAACUGCCCGAGUGCUGGAAGGCACUUUACAGCAGGAAGCAUGAUCAAUUGGAGGACCUGAAGACUCUGUAGUUGCUCUAAUGUAGAUGCUCAUAUCUAACACAAGCUGUCAGAGAUAGCCCGGCCAC
Molecule: long non-coding RNA, 243 nt
Filed under: Elaeis guineensis (African oil palm)
Lineage: Eukaryota; Viridiplantae; Streptophyta; Magnoliopsida; Arecales; Arecaceae
Description: long non-coding RNA (EGUI_LNC033697)
Source: RNAcentral